UAAGGACCCGUAUGAAUGGCUAAUUGAGGGUGACACUGUCUCAUACGAUUAAUCAAUGAACCUGAUUUCCCAGUACAAAAGCUGGGAUAAAACCACAAGACGAGAAGACCCUGUGGAGCUUCAAGCCAGAAUACUGACUCACUAUAAAACAGUGUUCGCCUUAAGUUGGGGCAACUACGGAGAAAAACAGAACCUCCAUGACACAAAGAAGUUUAAAACAUCACCAAGGGGGACACCCCAAAAGUGAUGCCCUUUAUGACCCAGUAAAACUGAGUACCGAACCAAGUUACCCCAGGGAUAACAGCGCCAUCCCCCUCAAGAGUCCACAUCAACAGGGGGGCUUACGACCUCGAUGUUGGAUCAGGACACCCAGGUGGUGCAGCCGCUACCAAUGGUCCGUUUGUUCAACGGCUAACGUCCU
This 421-nucleotide ribosomal RNA is filed under the name Hemidactylus mercatorius. RNAcentral's name for it is "partial 16S ribosomal RNA". It matches the Rfam family "Bacterial large subunit ribosomal RNA", at positions 1981 to 2597 of the family's 2925-position model. Lineage: Eukaryota; Metazoa; Chordata; Lepidosauria; Squamata; Gekkonidae. The record is from RNAcentral.